GACGAACGUUGGCGGCGUGCUUAACACAUGCAAGUCGAACGGAAAGGCCCUGCUUUUGUGGGGUGCUCGAGUGGCGAACGGGUGAGUAACACGUGAGUAACCUGCCCUUGACUUUGGGAUAACUUCAGGAAACUGGGGCUAAUACCGGAUAGGAGCUCCUGCUGCAUGGUGGGGGUUGGAAAGUUUCGGCGGUUGGGGAUGGACUCGCGGCUUAUCAGCUUGUUGGUGGGGUAGUGGCUUACCAAGGCUUUGACGGGUAGCCGGCCUGAGAGGGUGACCGGCCACAUUGGGACUGAGAUACGGCCCAGACUCCUACGGGAGGCAGCAGUGGGGAAUAUUGCACAAUGGGCGGAAGCCUGAUGCAGCAACGCCGCGUGCGGGAUGACGGCCUUCGGGUUGUAAACCGCUUUCGCCUGUGACGAAGCGUGAGUGACGGUAAUGGGUAAAGAAGCACCGGCUAACUACGUGCCAGCAGCCGCGGUGAUACGUAGGGUGCGAGCGUUGUCCGGAUUUAUUGGGCGUAAAGGGCUCGUAGGUGGUUGAUCGCGUCGGAAGUGUAAUCUUGGGGCUUAACCCUGAGCGUGCUUUCGAUACGGGUUGACUUGAGGAAGGUAGGGGAGAAUGGAAUUCCUGGUGGAGCGGUGGAAUGCGCAGAUAUCAGGAGGAACACCAGUGGCGAAGGCGGUUCUCUGGGCCUUUCCUGACGCUGAGGAGCGAAAGCGUGGGGAGCGAACAGGCUUAGAUACCCUGGUAGUCCACGCUGUAAACGGUGGGUACUAGGUGUGGGGUCCAUUCCACGGGUUCCGUGCCGUAGCUAACGCUUUAAGUACCCCGCCUGGGGAGUACGGCCGCAAGGCUAAAACUCAAAGGAAUUGACGGGGCCCCGCACAAGCGGCGGAGCAUGCGGAUUAAUUCGAUGCAACGCGUAGAACCUUACCUGGGUUUGACAUGGAUCGGGAGUGCUCAGAGAUGGGUGUGCCUCUUUGGGGUCGGUUCACAGGUGGUGCAUGGCUGUCGUCAGCUCGUGUCGUGAGAUGUUGGGUUAAGUCCCGCAACGAGCGCAACCCUUGUUCACUGUUGCCAGCACGUUAUGGUGGGGACUCAGUGGAGACCGCCGGGGUCAACUCGGAGGAAGGUGGGGAUGACGUCAAGUCAUCAUGCCCCUUAUGUCCAGGGCUUCACGCAUGCUACAAUGGCUGGUACAGAGAGUGGCGAGCCUGUGAGGGUGAGCGAAUCUCGGAAAGCCGGUCUCAGUUCGGAUUGGGGUCUGCAACUCGACCUCAUGAAGUCGGAGUCGCUAGUAAUCGCAGAUCAGCAACGCUGCGGUGAAUACGUUCCCGGG
This 1342-nucleotide ribosomal RNA is filed under the name uncultured bacterium. RNAcentral describes it as "16S ribosomal RNA". It matches the Rfam family "Bacterial small subunit ribosomal RNA", at positions 28 to 1378 of the family's 1533-position model. The record is from RNAcentral.